AGUUACCACUAUACUAGUGCAGGAGAAGCAGAAAGGAAGAUGCUGCUACCCAGAGCCCACAGUCAUUGUGCCCCUGAUGCCGCUGGAACCCCACUGCAGCUGCUUUACAGGAAGCAGGGAAUUAGCGCUCUUGCUGAUGCUACAGGUAUCCAGGAUCCAAAAGUCAUCAGCCGCUGUCCCUGUUGCAGCCUAGGGAAACUGUCCCACUGAGGUUGUUGGGGUACCUGCUACUGCAUCUACUGUCUGAACCAUGUUGCCUGAGCAGAUGUCCAGGGCUCAGGCUUGCCUGCUGCUGUUACUGCUGCCACCAUGUUUAUCAGAGCUACUUCAAGAAGAGAAGAAAUCCUCCUCAUUUCCAGUUUUUUCCAGUGCCUCCCAUUGCUUCCCAGAAUGCCAAAUUCUCUUUGAGAGACAGCUGAAAGGAAGGUUUGGAAAAGACUCUGGUGUAAGCAGAUUCUGCUUCCCUGCAAUAGGGGGAAAGCAUAGGGUGGAACUGGAGCUGAGAGCUAAUCACGAAUGAGCAAAUCAGUCUUCAAGACAUUUACCUUUCCUUGAAACGUUUCCCUUCUUUUACCGUGUUUUCCAUGUCAUUAUUUUUCCACAAUUCUGCAUCAUAUUCUGUUAACUAUUAAUGCCCUGGAUAAGUUUAUUUGCUCUUUCUUAGGGUUAAUUUUUCUCCUUUUCUUCGAAGCUUUAGUUUGCAGGUUCAGCUUGUGUGGGAAUUUUCAUCUCCCUCCUCUUCAAGACUCCUUGGAUAUCAGUUUUUUGGUUGCCUUCACCAACUCUCCCCCCACCAUCUCUAGACCAGGGCAUGGUCUUAGUUGGUGGCUUGGACUCCUGUGGCUUGGAGUCUUUGGGGAUAUUAGAGAUCCAGUCACUGAGCUGGCAAAGGGAACACUGUCCUUGCUUCCAGCUUUAUGAAGAACGCUUUGCUCUGUCACCCCACGUAAAUAAUCAUGUUAUUCAAGGAUAAUGAAUGCAGCCACCAUGUAAUCAUCACUGACUCCAUGGCCAUGAGAAAAGAGACCUAAGAAAUGAUGCCCAUCCAGAAGAGUGAAGACUUCCUGAAAAUGUUCUUUUAACCUAAGAUGUAGGUUAAGAGGAGUGAAAAAAUGUUCUGUUUCUGACUGAUGAUGGAGCAACAAAGGAACUCCUAAAGAAGAAAUCAUCCAUUCAGUGAGAGCAAAUGAACACUCCAACAGACUGAAACAAAGCAUCUUUACAGGAGAUGUGAAUGCGAGAAAGCAAAGAGAACUACAGUCAGGGUCUCCGCUGGCAUGGCCCAAGCCCACCGUGGCAUGAUCCAGAGAGACGAGUCAGCAGAGCACUAUGGGCAGCUCCCAUACUCUUCGCAGAUCAACAAGCCAGCAUAUAACCCAGGGAGAUAGAUAAUAGUGAUGCUGUGCUCUGUAGAGGGUAGUGGCAACAGUGGGAUUUCUUCUGGAAUAAAUCUGUAGUGAGCCAGAUGUUUCUGCUGACUAUAUUACUUCUGACAGUGUAUAAUCCAAAAUUGUUUCCUUGGCCUUCCAAAAAGUUUUAUAAGCUCCCUAACGGCUGCAAUAAAUCCCUUUCUUCUUAAA
This 1580-nucleotide long non-coding RNA is filed under the name Homo sapiens (human). RNAcentral's name for it is "long independently transcribed non-coding RNA 2795, transcript variant 2 (LINC02795)". The record is from RNAcentral. Lineage: Eukaryota; Metazoa; Chordata; Mammalia; Primates; Hominidae.